AAGGGCUCGCAGGCGGUUUCUUAAGUCUGAUGUGAAAGCCCCCGGCUCAACCGGGGAGGGUCAUUGGAAACUGGGGAACUUGAGUGCAGAAGAGGAGAGUGGAAUUCCACGUGUAGCGGUGAAAUGCGUAGAGAUGUGGAGGAACACCAGUGGCGAAGGCGACUCUCUGGUCUGUAACUGACGCUGAGGAGCGAAAGCGUGGGGAGCGAACAGGAUUAGAUACCCUGGUAGUCCACGCCGUAAACGAUGAGUGCUAAGUGUUAGGGGGUUUCCGCCCCUUAG
This 282-nucleotide ribosomal RNA is filed under the name Bacillus subtilis. Its description in RNAcentral is "partial 16S ribosomal RNA". It matches the Rfam family "Bacterial small subunit ribosomal RNA", at positions 563 to 843 of the family's 1533-position model. The record is from RNAcentral. Lineage: Bacteria; Bacillati; Bacillota; Bacilli; Caryophanales; Bacillaceae.